This 254-nucleotide ribosomal RNA is filed under the name uncultured bacterium. RNAcentral describes it as "partial 16S ribosomal RNA". It matches the Rfam family "Bacterial small subunit ribosomal RNA", at positions 524 to 776 of the family's 1533-position model. The record is from RNAcentral.
UACGUAGGGGGCAAGCGUUGUCCGGAAUUAUUGGGCGUAAAGAGCUCGUAGGCGGUCUGUCGCGUCGAUCGUGAAAACUUGGGGCUUAACCCUGAGCUUGCGGUCGAUACGGGCAUGACUGGAGUUCGGCAGGGGAGACUGGAAUUCCUGGUGUAGCGGUGAAAUGCGCAGAUAUCAGGAGGAACACCGGUGGCGAAGGCGGGUCUCUGGGCCGAUACUGACGCUGAGGAGCGAAAGCGUGGGGAGCGAACAGG